Non-coding RNA from Styela clava, 526 nucleotides. The record is from RefSeq and is a predicted model, not a curated record. NCBI's taxonomy places the organism in Eukaryota, Metazoa, Chordata, Ascidiacea, Stolidobranchia, Styelidae.
AACGUAAUAUUUGUGACUUUUGACUAUUUUGUAAAUAAAAUCGAUCCAUUUUAUUUGGCAUUGCUCCGAACUGAUAUUGAUUCGAAUCGCUCCUAUUAGGAAUUCUAAACCUCACAUCUGUACUCGCAAAUUAAUUCAUCUUAUAACUUCAAGAUAUAUAUUUUAAAGAUCCAAAUACCAGCUAUGAAGAACGUAUUUAUUUUAAUAGCCAUUGGAGUUGUGUUUGCUACCAUUUACAGUGGUGCUAUAGCUGAAGAUGACGGCGAUCAAGGAGAGAAUGGAAUUGAGCUCGACAUUCUCGGUCAUACUAAUCAAAGGAGGAUGAUCGAAGGCGCCUCGUGGAAAAGAAAGAAGCGUGAUAUUUUAUUCCCGAACAAUGAAGAUGAUAUUGCUCUUUUCCGUUGACUGUUUAAACAGCAAAAUCAGAAAAAUGCAACAAGGACCCAUCGUUUGUCACAUAUACAGUAAUGCUAUUGUCAUUUCAAUUUGACGAAAAUUAGAAAUUUAUUAUAUAUAUAUAUAUAAA